CCUACGGGUGACAGCAGUGAGGAAUAUUGGUCAAUGGGCGCGAGCCUGAACCAGCCAAGUAGCGUGAAGGAUGACUGCCCUACGGGUUGUAAACUUCUUUUAUAAAGGAAUAAAGUGAGGAACGUGUGCCUUUUUGUAUGUACUUUAUGAAUAAGGAUCUGCUAACUCCGUGCCAGCAGCCGCGGUAAUACGGAGGAUCCGAGCGUUAUCCGGAUUUAUUGGGGUUAAAGGGAGCGUAGGUGGUGUUUUAAGUCAGUUGUGAAAGUUUGCGGCUCAACCGUAAAAUUGCAAUUGAUACUGGCAGCCUUGAGUACAGUUGAGGUAGGCGGAAUUCGUGGUGUAGCAGUGAAAUGCUUAGAUAUCACGAAGAACUCCGAUUGCGAAGGCAGCUUACUAAACUGCCACUGACAUUGAUGCUCGAAAGUGUGGGUAUCAAACAGGAUUAGAUACCCCGGUAGUC
This 460-nucleotide ribosomal RNA is filed under the name uncultured bacterium. Its description in RNAcentral is "partial 16S ribosomal RNA". It matches the Rfam family "Bacterial small subunit ribosomal RNA", at positions 338 to 795 of the family's 1533-position model. The record is from RNAcentral.